UCCAGUGACAUCAUGAUUGAUGUCAUGAAUUGUAUUUAAGUACAUCAGAAUUGCACAGUCAUAAAGCUUCACUCUCUCUCUUCCUGAGUCAUUGAAGUCUAGCAAUAAGACAAAAGUCAGGAUGAUUACUGAUGACUUGGGAUGAAGUGGAUGAUCUUGGCUUCUUCAAUGUAUGACCAAGCUCUGGAUACUCCACAGCAUCUGCUUCAGCUGCCUUCAUGUCUUUUGGAACAAUCUAUUCUUCAGGGGAAAGUCUUCACAUUCAUGAAGUUGACAUCCCUGUAACUCAUCUAUGGAUUUGAGGCCCAUUGGUUACCCUGGAUCUGAUUUAACUCACCUGCCAAGAAAACUGAGAGUUGGGUGAAGACUAAAGUGUGGUCAAAGAAGGCAGCCACUGCUAAAUUCGCUCAGAAUGAAUUUUGGAUAGGAAGAGUAGAAGAAAGAAAAAAGCACUCAUAUGAAAUUCAGAAAAUCCUGGGGAGAGGGAAGGGCUAAGGAUUGUGUCUUGUUUCAGCUUUAUACCUCCUCUGUCACUUAAUACUAAAGGAAAUGGAGUCCGGAUAUCCCUCCGAGCAGACUUUAGUCUCAUAUCUUUUGAGCUGUUACCUGAGAAAUCCUGUAACUCCACCCAGGCAAUCUUUCCCCACCCUCUUUAGUAAAGGCUGGAAACUGGAAGAUCCCAAAUAAAGGAUGAAGUGGCAAUC
Sarcophilus harrisii (Tasmanian devil) is the source of this 704-nucleotide long non-coding RNA. RefSeq lists it as uncharacterized. NCBI's taxonomy places the organism in Eukaryota, Metazoa, Chordata, Mammalia, Dasyuromorphia, Dasyuridae. The transcript is spliced from 3 exons. The record is from RefSeq and is a predicted model, not a curated record.